GCCGAAGUAGCUCAGCUGGUAGAGCGACGGUAUCGUAAACCGUAGGUAGUGGGUUCGAGUCCCACCUUCGGCU
Molecule: transfer RNA, 73 nt
Filed under: Candidatus Woesebacteria bacterium
Lineage: Bacteria; Candidatus Woeseibacteriota
Description: tRNA-Thr
Rfam family: tRNA
About the family: Transfer RNA (tRNA) molecules are approximately 80 nucleotides in length. Their secondary structure includes four short double-helical elements and three loops (D, anti-codon, and T loops). Further hydrogen bonds mediate the characteristic L-shaped molecular structure. tRNAs have two regions of fundamental functional importance: the anti-codon, which is responsible for specific mRNA codon recognition, and the 3' end, to which the tRNAs corresponding amino acid is attached (by aminoacyl-tRNA synthetases). tRNAs cope with the degeneracy of the genetic code in two manners: having more than one tRNA (with a specific anti-codon) for a particular amino acid; and 'wobble' base-pairing, i.e. permitting non-standard base-pairing at the 3rd anti-codon position.
Source: RNAcentral